GUCCCCGUAGAUUAGUGGUUAGAUCACCACGUUGUGGUAGAGCAUUGCUCGUCGCAAACCGUGGUAACCCAGGCUCGAAUCCUGGCAGGGACA
Molecule: non-coding RNA, 93 nt
Organism: Lentinula aff. lateritia
Lineage: Eukaryota; Fungi; Basidiomycota; Agaricomycetes; Agaricales; Omphalotaceae
Source: the annotation of a GenBank genome assembly